Molecule: non-coding RNA, 834 nt
Organism: Lactuca sativa (garden lettuce)
Lineage: Eukaryota; Viridiplantae; Streptophyta; Magnoliopsida; Asterales; Asteraceae
Source: RefSeq, a predicted model, not a curated record
AACAUUUGUUCCGUUCAUAACAACAUUCACAAAAUUGUCGAUCGUCAUUCUUAUGACAAGUUUUCAAACUAAUCUGGUGUUUAGCAAUCGUGAAAAUUUAAAAGAGUGGGUGCAAGAAAUGACAAUCUCAUGGAUAUGUGGUUGUUACUAAAAUAAUAAAGACAAAAGGAAGUGGAUAUGUUUCAAAAAUUAUUUUUUUGUGUGAUCGGGGUGGUGUACCUAGAGGUCCGGAGACAUCCACCAAAAGUAUAGGGUCCAGAAAACAAAUUGUCCAUUCAAAAUUUUGCUUGUUACUGUAAGUCGGAUGAUGUUUGGAUGUUAAUGGUUAAAAACGAUGAACAUAGUCAUGAACCUGCAAUGUAUAUGCAGGUCCACCCAUAUACAAGGCGGUUAACCCCAGAUGAAUAAAAACGAUUGAAGAAAUGAAGAUAAAAAAUGUCCCCUCACAUGAUAUUCUAUCGACACUGAAGAGACAAAAUUCCAAAAAUGUUUCUACAAUAAAAACAGUUUAUAAUGAGUGUUACAAAUUUCAAAUGAAUGAUCUUGGAGACCGAAGUCAAAUGCAAGUUGUCUUCGGAUUUUUGCAUUCAAAAGCAUAUAUAUUUAACCAUCGUGCAAAUGAUACAACCAAUGCCUUGGAAGAUCUAUUCUUUGUUCACCCAACAACAUUGGAGAUAUGGCGUGCAUUUCCAAUGUCAACGUUACUGGUGAUGCUAAUUUUGACGUAAGCUUGAUUUAAUCAAUGUCAACGUUACUGAUGAUGCUAAUUUUGGUUUCGAAGAGGGUGUGGAAUUGUUAAAAGAAAGCUAUUCUUUAAUAUAUUAAUUUGUAUAA